UACGUAGGUGGCAAGCGUUGUCCGGAAUUAUUGGGCGUAAAGGGCGCGUAGGCGGCACUUUAAGUCAGAUGUGAAAACCCGGGGCUCAACCCCGGAGGUGCAUUUGAAACUGGAGAGCUUGAGUGCGGGAGAGGAAAGUGGAAUUCCUAGUGUAGCGGUGAAAUGCGUAGAUAUUAGGAGGAACACCAGUGGCGAAGGCGACUUUCUGGACCGUAACUGACGCUGAGGCGCGAAAGCGUGGGGAGCAAACAGG
This 253-nucleotide ribosomal RNA is filed under the name uncultured bacterium. RNAcentral describes it as "partial 16S ribosomal RNA". It matches the Rfam family "Bacterial small subunit ribosomal RNA", at positions 524 to 776 of the family's 1533-position model. The record is from RNAcentral.